RNAcentral lists this ribosomal RNA (558 nucleotides) under Priestia megaterium. Its description in RNAcentral is "bacterial SSU rRNA". It matches the Rfam family "Bacterial small subunit ribosomal RNA", at positions 380 to 931 of the family's 1533-position model. Lineage: Bacteria; Bacillati; Bacillota; Bacilli; Caryophanales; Bacillaceae. The record is from RNAcentral.
UACUUGACGGAGCAAUCCGCGUGAGUGAUGAAGGCUUUCGGGUCGUAAAACUCUGUUGUUAGGGAAGAACAAGUACAAGAGUAACUGCUUGUACCUUGACGGUACCUAACCAGAAAGCCACGGCUAACUACGUGCCAGCAGCCGCGGUAAUACGUAGGUGGCAAGCGUUAUCCGGAAUUAUUGGGCGUAAAGCGCGCGCAGGCGGUUUCUUAAGUCUGAUGUGAAAGCCCACGGCUCAACCCGGAGGGUCAUUGGAAACUGGGGAACUUGAGUGCAGAAGAGAAAAGCGGAAUUCCACGUGUAGCGGUGAAAUGCGUAGAGAUGUGGAGGAACACCAGUGGCGAAGGCGGCUUUUUGGUCUGUAACUGACGCUGAGGCGCGAAAGCGUGGGGAGCAAACAGGAUUAGAUACCCUGGUAGUCCACGCCGUAAACGAUGAGUGCUAAGUGUUAGAGGGUUUCCGCCCUUUAGUGCUGCAGCUAACGCAUUAAGCACUCCGCCUGGGGAGUACGGUCGCAAGACUGAAACUCAAAGNAAUUGACGGGGGCCCGCACCAGCA